This 253-nucleotide ribosomal RNA is filed under the name uncultured bacterium. Its description in RNAcentral is "partial 16S ribosomal RNA". It matches the Rfam family "Bacterial small subunit ribosomal RNA", at positions 524 to 776 of the family's 1533-position model. The record is from RNAcentral.
GACGAACCGUGCGAACGUUGUUCGGAAUCACUGGGCUUAAAGGGCGCGUAGGCGGGUCAUAAAGUCAGGGGUGAAAUCCUCCAGCUUAACUGGAGAACUGCCUUUGAUACUGAUGGUCUCGAGUAAGGUAGGGGCAUGCGGAACUGAUGGUGGAGCGGUGAAAUGUGUUGAUAUCAUCAGGAACUCCGGUGGCGAAGGCGGCAUGCUGGACCUUCACUGACGCUGAGGCGCGAAAGCUAGGGGAGCAAACAGG